AUUGAACGCUGGCGGCAGGCCUAACACAUGCAAGUCGAGCGGAGCGGCUGACGGGUGAGUAAUGCCCAGGAAUCUGCCUGGUAGUGGGGGAUAACGUCAGGAAACGGGCGCUAAUACCGCACACUAUCAGAUUAGCCUAGGUCGGAUUAGCUAGUGGUUGGGGUAAUGGCCUACCAAGUCGACGAUCCGUAACUGGUCUGAGAGGUUGAUCAGUCACACUGGAACUGAGACAGGGUCCGACCUCCUACGGGAGGGAGAAGUGGGAAAUAUUGGACAAUGGGCGAAAGCCUGAUCCAGCCAUGCGGGGUAUGUGAAGAAGGUCUUCGGAUUGUAAAGCACUUUAAGUUGGGAGACGUUACCAACAGAAUAAGCACCGGCUAACUUCGUGCCAGCAGCCGCGGUAAUUC
RNAcentral lists this ribosomal RNA (407 nucleotides) under uncultured bacterium. Its description in RNAcentral is "partial 16S ribosomal RNA". It matches the Rfam family "Bacterial small subunit ribosomal RNA", at positions 30 to 526 of the family's 1533-position model. The record is from RNAcentral.